RNAcentral lists this ribosomal RNA (767 nucleotides) under uncultured fungus. RNAcentral's name for it is "eukaryotic LSU rRNA". It matches the Rfam family "Eukaryotic large subunit ribosomal RNA", at positions 30 to 821 of the family's 3401-position model. The record is from RNAcentral. Lineage: Eukaryota; Fungi.
GAACUUAAGCAUAUCAAUAAGCGGAGGAAAAGAAACCAACAGGGAUUGCCUCAGUAACGGCGAGUGAAGCGGCAACAGCUCAAAUUUGAAAUCUGCCUCUAGGCCGAGUUGUAAUUUGUAGAAGAUGCUUCGGGUGUGGCACUGGUCUAAGUUCCUUGGAACAGGACGUCAUAGAGGGUGAGAAUCCCGUACGUGACUGGCUGCCUUCGCCCAUGUGAAGCUCUUUCGACGAGUCGAGUUGUUUGGGAAUGCAGCUCAAAAUGGGUGGUAUAUUUCAUCUAAAGCUAAAUAUUGGCCAGAGACCGAUAGCGCACAAGUAGAGUGAUCGAAAGAUGAAAAGCACUUUGGAAAGAGAGUUAAACAGUACGUGAAAUUGUUGAAAGGGAAGCGCUUGCAAUCAGACUUGCGCGCCGUCGAUCAUCCGAGGUUUUCCCCGGUGCACUCGGCGGUGCUCAGGCCAGCAUCGGUUUCGGUGGUUAGAUAAAGGCCUUGGGAAUGUGGCUCCUCCGGGAGUGUUAUAGCCCUCGGUGCAAUGUAGCCUACCGAGACCGAGGACCGCGCUUCGGCUAGGAUGCUGGCGUAAUGGUUGUAAGCGACCCGUCUUGAAACACGGACCAAGGAGUCUAACAUCUAUGCGAGUGUUUGGGUGUUAAACCCAUGCGCGUAAUUAACGUGAACGGAGGUGAGAACUCUUAAGGGUGCAUCAUCGACCGAUCCUGAUGUCUUCGGAUGGAUUUGAGUAAGAGCAUAGCUGUUGGGACCCGAAA